Molecule: long non-coding RNA, 694 nt
Organism: Artibeus jamaicensis (Jamaican fruit-eating bat)
Lineage: Eukaryota; Metazoa; Chordata; Mammalia; Chiroptera; Phyllostomidae
Exons: 3
Source: RefSeq, a predicted model, not a curated record
AAGAUUCAGGCUAUGGAUGCUAGAGAGAGAGCCUUGUCCUCUGACGUAUAGAGUGAUGAGGACCAAGAGAGCCUGCAGCUGCUGGAACCAUUGCCCAAGGACAUAAGGCAGACGCUGCCGGCCGAAGAGCCGGAGAGAAACUCCAACUCUAUCACAUCAUUGCAGUCAUGCCUGAAGCCAAGCCUACCUUCAGUUUUCCCAGUGACAAGAGCCAAUUAUCUUUUUAAUUUAAAAAAAUUGAUCCAGUUUGGAUUUCUGUUGCUUAGCACAGAAAGAGUUCUGAUUAAUAAGUAAUUGAACUCAGAUGUAUUGAGACCUACUGCUCGUGUCCUGAGCCAGAGACUGGGACCCAGUGGUGAGCAAAUGAGAGACCAGCCGCUAGGACCUCCUACCCUCAUAGGAGAGACAUACAUGGCAGGUGGGCACAAUGCCAAUGUCAAGUAACAGAACAAUCUGCUCAAAGUCGGGUCUCAUUUUCUACUUUUUCAGUGCUGGCUUAUCAAGAUGCAAGAGGAAUGAUCUUCUCUUGGAAUCACCAUCUUUCCUAAACUAAGAAGCAUGACGACUUGCUACCCACGAUGGUUGAGAUGUGAAGAACUCUAAAACAGCCGGGCACAGCCAGAAUUUCUCUGGGAACUGUCCUCAGAGCUCCUGGGGAGCAGCGGGUCACCCGUAGCUCUUCUCGGACUGUCAG